GUGGCUUGGCGGCUGCUAUACAUGCAGUCGACGAGUUCUCGUUGAUGAUCGGUGCUUGCACCGAGAUUCAACAUGGAACGAGUGGCGGACGGGUGAGUAACACGUGGGUAACCUGCCCUUAAGUGGGGGAUAACAUUUGGAAACAGAUGCUAAUACCGCAUAGAUCCAAGAACCGCAUGGUUCUUGGCUGAAAGAUGGCGUAAGCUAUCGCUUUUGGAUGGACCCGCGGCGUAUUAGCUAGUUGGUGAGGUAAUGGCUCACCAAGGCGAUGAUACGUAGCCGAACUGAGAGGUUGAUCGGCCACAUUGGGACUGAGACACGGCCCAAACUCCUACGGGAGGCAGCAGUAGGGAAUCUUCCACAAUGGACGCAAGUCUGAUGGAGCAACGCCGCGUGAGUGAAGAAGGCUUUCGGGUCGUAAAACUCUGUUGUUGGAGAAGAAUGGUCGGCAGAGUAACUGUUGUCGGCGUGACGGUAUCCAACCAGAAAGCCACGGCUAACUACGUGCCAGCAGCCGCGGUAAUACGUAGGUGGCAAGCGUUAUCCGGAUUUAUUGGGCGUAAGCGAGCGCAGGCGGUUUUUUAAGUCUGAUGUGAAAGCCCUCGGCUUAACCGAGGAAGCGCAUCGGAAACUGGGAGACUUGAGUGCAGAAGAGGACAGUGGAACUCCAUGUGUAGCGGUGAAAUGCGUAGAUCUAUGGAAGAACACCAGUGGCGAAGGCGGCUGUCUGGUCUGUAACUGACGCUGAGGCUCGAAAGCAUGGGUAGCGAACAGGAUUAGAUACCCUGGUAGUCCAUGCCGUAAACGAUGAAUGCUAGGUGUUGGAGGGUUUCCGCCCUUCAGUGCCGCAGCUAACGCAUUAAGCAUUCCGCCUGGGGAGUACGACCGCAAGGUUGAAACUCAGAGGAAUUGACGGGGGCCCGCACAAGCGGUGGAGCAUGUGGUUUAAUUCGAAGCAACGCGAAGAACCUUACCAGGUCUUGACAUCUUUUGAUCACCUGAGAGAUCAGGUUUCCCCUUCGGGGGCAAAAUGACAGGUGGUGCAAGGUUGUCGUCAGCUCCUGUCGGGAAAUGUUGGGUUAAGUCCGUCAACGAGGGCAACCCUUUUUAACUAGUUGCCAACAUUUAAUUGGGGCCCUCCCGUAAGAAUGCGGGGAGAAACCGAAGAAAAGUGGGGAAAA
This 1181-nucleotide ribosomal RNA is filed under the name Lacticaseibacillus paracasei. Its description in RNAcentral is "bacterial SSU rRNA". It matches the Rfam family "Bacterial small subunit ribosomal RNA", at positions 32 to 1182 of the family's 1533-position model. Lineage: Bacteria; Bacillati; Bacillota; Bacilli; Lactobacillales; Lactobacillaceae. The record is from RNAcentral.